Molecule: ribosomal RNA, 342 nt
Filed under: uncultured Bacillota bacterium
Lineage: Bacteria; Bacillati; Bacillota
Description: bacterial SSU rRNA
Rfam family: Bacterial small subunit ribosomal RNA
Source: RNAcentral
GAUGAACGCUGGCGGCGUGCCUAACACAUGCAAGUCGAGCGAGAAUUGAUGGAAUGAGGACUUCGGUCCGAGUGAAGUCGAGGAAAGCGGCGGACGGGUGAGUAACGCGUGGGUAACCUGCCCCAUACAAUGGGAUAGCCACUGGAAACGGUGAUUAAUACCAUAUAAUGCUUUAUAAUCGCAUGAUUUAAAAGCUAAAGAUUUAUCGGUAUGGGAUGGACCCGCGUCUGAUUAGCUAGUUGGUGAGGUAACGGCUCACCAAGGCGACGAUCAGUAGCCGACCUGAGAGGGUGAUCGGCCACACUGGAACUGAGACACGGUCCAGACUCCUACGGGAGGCUG